Long non-coding RNA from Brassica oleracea var. oleracea, 1522 nucleotides. RefSeq lists it as uncharacterized. The transcript has 7 exons. The record is from RefSeq and is a predicted model, not a curated record. Lineage: Eukaryota; Viridiplantae; Streptophyta; Magnoliopsida; Brassicales; Brassicaceae.
CUUCCUUCAGCCGGCAAAACCUAAAGACACCGGUUAAAAAUCCGAUUUAUCUUCCACGUCCCACUUUGCCUUCCAUCUAUUACUGCUUCAUUAAUGUGAAUAACCUCACAAUUUCGCUACCGUAUUCACUUUCCUCCGUCUCUCCCUUUUCUAUAUAAUCGAUUGGAUGAUCGCCUUUAAACCAUUGGAUCAUCGUCCGUUUCAGUAUGCCCCUGAUUUUCAGAAAUACCUUUCUUCUCUUCUGAGCAGCAUAUCUGACGUCAGAGAUGUGGGCGAAGCUCUCAAACGAUUUACAUUUAUUCAGAUACAACGGCUGCGGAAACGUUUGCAUUGAAAAAAAUUCUUCCUGUAGAAAAAGUCAGCAGCUGGGGCUGAGACAGUAGGAUCUCUUUCGUGUUGAUCAUACAAGCUUGCGAUAUAGAGCUCGAAAACAAAGCCAAAGAAGUGGCAGAGCUGAAAACAGAGAGGCUGACCUAGAGAGAAUUGCGAGGCUGAAACAUGCAGAGGCAGACAUAUCCUCAUCUAAAAGACAACGAAGCAAAGCGGAGGCAUAUUGGUCGAUCAUUUGUAACAUCAGUAUUUGAUUUGCUAAGGCCAUCGUAUGUUCAAGUUGACACCAAAGAAUGAAUACUUAUGUGUACCUUUUGUAAGCCAUGACCAAACUCUCAAGCUUCAAAAGUACAGUUUGAUGCUACAACCGCCUGGUGACAGUGCACCAGUACUGGACGGAUCCUAGGAUUGUCUAGGAUCACUUUGGUUCUUGCUGGGUAUUUUGGUGCUGUAGAAUCAUUGUCUGACAAGAGCUGCAUCACAUAUAACAUGUGUUGAUGAAUGAUAAAACGGAAGAUGUUGACGACGACUUAGAUGAGGACUUUCAUGGGGAUGACAUGCCUGCAUCUGACUGCAAUUUGACUACUUCGUUAUCAUCGACGCUUUAAAAAAAAAUUGCAGUCAAUUGAGUACACUGGCAGUCAGGGAUAAAUUUAAGGUGAUAUCAUAAAUUUUAAGAUCAUGGUUCCGGAAAGGAGUAAGAGCGUUCUCUGGUUUUAGUAUGGUUUGUUGAUGUUAUGGUGUGGUUAGUUGAAUGAUAUAUUAUGGUUAGUCACAGGCCUGUUCUUGGAUUCAUCGUAAUUUAAUAAAUACAUGUGUUUUCUUAAGAUAGAUGGGAAGUUUGGAGGUUAUAAAAGCUAAAACAACAGCAGAGACAAGAGUAGAGCAAGUAGCAAUUUCUUUGGAUAAAUAUUCAUGCCGUAAUUUGCAUCAUUCAUUUAAUCUGUUCCAGCCCUGGAAGUUUGGAACUACAUUCGUAAAGUUCCGACGAAACCGAUGAUUUUCUGAGACCAGAAGCCAAGAUAAAAAAGGGAUUCAAGUUUUGGUGGAUAUAGAAAGAAAAUAUUCAGAGGUUUUCAAUACGUUUGAUGCAUAGUAACUUAUUUUUGUUGUGUAGGAGAGAAUGAAAAACAUAUAUAUGAAAUGUGAAAUGUUAUGACCGCAUGUCAAUUUGUGUUUUAACAUAAACUAG